GUGACAUCUGGGUUCCCUGGGGCUCCUGGUGCGGUGGCUAACGCCUGUAAUCCCAGCACUUUCGGAGGCCGAGCUGGGUGGAUCACGACGUCAGGAGUUCAAGACCAGCCUGGCCAAGAUGGUGAAACCCCAUCUCUACUGAAAAUACAAAAAUUAGCCAGGCGCACUGGCACACGCCUGUAAUCCCAGCUACUCGGGAGGCUGAGGCAGGGAAUUGCUUGAACCAGGGAGGUGGAGGUUACAGUGAGCCCAGAUCAUGCCACUGCACUCCAGCCUGGGCAACGGAGCGAGACUCUGUCUCACAAAAAAUAAAUAAAUAAAAGAAAAG
Molecule: long non-coding RNA, 328 nt
Filed under: Homo sapiens (human)
Lineage: Eukaryota; Metazoa; Chordata; Mammalia; Primates; Hominidae
Description: HSALNT0337047
Source: RNAcentral